ACGGAACGGAAAACACCGUAGUGGCGGUU
RNAcentral lists this non-coding RNA (29 nucleotides) under Mus musculus (house mouse). Lineage: Eukaryota; Metazoa; Chordata; Mammalia; Rodentia; Muridae. The record is from RNAcentral.